GCCCGGAGCCAGGAGCGCCCGGACGACAAUCCUUCGUAAAUAAAGCCCAGUUUCUUUUUGAGGUUGGCAAGUCCCAGCCCCAUGAUUGCAGGUUUGUCUCCGGAUUGACGGAUUGGAUGAUGGAUGGGUUGAUCUGGGGGGACAUACACCCAUUUUCUUCCUCCCCUCCCCGCAUAUGUCUCUGAGCCCUUCCUCAUCCUUUGCAUCUCUAGGGCCGAGGCCUUGGGACCCUGGGGGCCUGCAGCUCCGAGAAGGGAAAGAGCAAAGGGCCCCACGCGGGGGUGGGGGUGGACCGUUCUUCAGCCCCUCAACCCUCCAAAGCUCUGCGCUCUGCCGAGGACUCUCAGCCCAAAGCAAAGCUUGUGGGCUCCCCACUUAGCAAAUGGUAAGAUGGGAACAAAAGCUGUUUGCCCGCGUGGGGCUGCAACCAAACCCGCCUGGCCUCCUUCCUCCGCCUGAGUGAGGGGAGAGGGGCCUUGGCCUCCAGGACCCUGGACCCUGCCCCUGCCCCUGCCCCACCCGCUGCUAGCAGGAGGGCAGCUGUGCCAGGGGCAAAUGGGGAAAUACAGCUGGGCAAGGUGGGGCUCCCUGCAGGUGGCUGAGACGGGGGCUCGCAGGGGAAGGGCAGCGAGGGCGCAGGAACCGCGGGAGGAAGGCUGAGCAGGGCUGUGGCCUCAGGGGGUCCAGGGAGCUCUGUAGCAAGAGCAGCCCCACAAAUCCAGUGGCGCUUUUGAGGCCUAUUAAUCACUGCGAGCUGCCCAGGGUUGGGGGGUGGGUGCCUUCCCCAGCAGGGCAGCCCCCUGUUGAUGGAGGGUCCCUGCUGUGAGCUGUUAGCAAGCCCCCCGGAAGGAGCUGGGGGUCGGUGUGCGUUGGGAACAGGGCCCGCCCAGGUGCCAUCCCAGCAGCUCUGAUAAUUCACUGAGAUUUGUUGUUUCCCAGGGCAUACUUAAUUUUGUAAAUGCCCCGUGCGUGCUUGAAAAGUGUAUUACAGCAAUGUGCCUAAAAAUAAAAACACAAAUAAGGGAGAAAGGACAGCUCUUCCUCCAGAAGGAUGGCCGCUGACAACACAGGAGGAGUGGGGGGUGUGGGAAACCCCAGCGCAAGCCGGUGGUGAGUGCUGCAGCCGGACCUGCGAUCGGGAGCGGAAUUAUGGAUGGAUAUUUGAGAAACAGGAUAUCUGCAUAGUCUCAAAGCCUCUCCCUCAAGAUAUUUAUUAAUUGCAGAGGUAAAAUGAUACCUUUACAGCGGGAUACCCAGCAGGCACCACACCCUUUUCACCAAGUUGUCAAGGCCACAGGAACUCAUCGUGAGACACUCGGACGUCGCAUCCCCUGCCACGAUGUGCUGGAAAGACCCACUGCUUCUGGGGCGUGCUCGUUACAAUGCAUGACCAUCUACCCAUGAGAGGACUUCAGACAAACCCGGACUGAGGGACAUCAUCUAAAGUAAUUGAGCGGUACUCUUCAGAAUGCCGAGGCUCUGCGAGCCUCAGAAGGACCGAGGACUGUCACACGCUAUCACACGACAGCCCAGUAUUCCGGACUGGAUCCUCCAACAGGAAAAGGCCGUCAGUGGACAAAGUGGCAACAUUCAAAUAACGUGUCUGUAGUUGAGCUAACGUGAUCACACCCAUGUUAAUCAGUUUGUUAAUGGUACUCGUGGUUACGCAAAAUACUGACAGUGGACGAAGCUGGGUGAAGAAUGUAUGGAGACUGCACUACUUUUGCCAAUCCCCUGUAAGCCCCAGCUCCUUCAAAAUAACACUUUGAAUAAAUGCUCAGUUUAAGAACUUACAGUAACCACUGCUCAGGUUGAGAAAUGGGACAUUAUUAUCACUCGUGUGUCUUCCUUCCGAAUCACAACUUCUGACUUCUCAUACAGGCUCCCAUCCCGGAUGCUACGUUACAUUUGAUUGUCCUGUCUCCUUAGGCUCCUCUUGACUGUGACAGUUCCUCAGACGUUCCUUGUUUCUGAUGACCUUGACAGUUCUGGGGAGUGCGCAGAUGGGCCGACGGAAUUGCCGUGGGUCCAUCCAUUGUCCCUCGUUCCUGCUUGGUCUCGCGGGCAGUGCCUUAUCUUGUCGGUGCUUCAUUCACUUUUACUGUGGUUGACGUUAUGUUCCUGGAGAUUUCUGCUGCUUCUACCUAGCAUCUGGAGACGCCAGCCAUCUGGGAUCGUCUUAUUCCAGGUCUGAGGCUUGAGAACUUCCGGGCCACCCAGAAUGGUGCUCCACUGCAGAAUCCGUGACUGGUUUGUUCCCAAUUCAUCCUUCAGGGCCCUGGACCAAGUGCUGGAUCUUUACCAGCAUCCCCAGACCCCCUUCCUGUCCCCCUAGCUCCGGUCCUUCCAGGCUCUCCAAGCACAACUCAGCCCCUCGGCCAUGUUUUCCCCUGGACAGAAGCCCCGGGUCUGAGGCAGCGUUUCGGGCCUUCCCACCCCCUUGCACUCCGCACCUGUCUUGUUGGCCCUUUGAUGCUUUUCCGGUAUUUUCUGUUUUUCACCCAGCUUUUAAAACUCGUAGUGAGGGGCGCCUGGGUGGCGUCUGCCUUCGGCU
Molecule: non-coding RNA, 2554 nt
Organism: Leptonychotes weddellii (Weddell seal)
Lineage: Eukaryota; Metazoa; Chordata; Mammalia; Carnivora; Phocidae
Source: RefSeq, a predicted model, not a curated record